RNAcentral lists this ribosomal RNA (250 nucleotides) under uncultured bacterium. Its description in RNAcentral is "partial 16S ribosomal RNA". It matches the Rfam family "Bacterial small subunit ribosomal RNA", at positions 75 to 339 of the family's 1533-position model. The record is from RNAcentral.
CCAGCUUGCUGGAUGUCCUUAGUGGCGCACGGGUGAGUAACGCGUGGGAACCAACCCUGAAGUGAGGAAUAACUACUGGAAACGGUAGCUAAUACCGCAUACGCCCUACGGGGGAAAGGCUUCGGCCGCUUUUGGACGGUCCCGCGUCUGAUUAGCUUGUUGGUGAGGUAAUGGCUCACCAAGGCGACGAUCAGUAGCUGGUCUGAGAGGAUGAUCAGCCACACUGGAACUGAGACACGGUCCAGACUCC